AUUGAACGCUGGCGGCAGGCCUAACACAUGCAAGUCGAGCGGUAGCACAGGGAGCUUGCUCCUGGGUGACGAGCGGCGGACGGGUGAGUAAUGUCUGGGAAACUGCCUGAUGGAGGGGGAUAACUAUUGGAAACGGUAGCUAAUACCGCAUAACGUCGCAAGACCAAAGAGGGGGACCUUCGGGCCUCUUGCCAUCAGAUGUGCCCAGAUAGGAUUAGCUAGUAGGUGGGGUAAUGGCUCACCUAGGCGACGAUCCCUAGCUGGUCUGAGAGGAUGACCAGCCACACUGGAACUGAGACACGGUCCAGACUCCUACGGGAGGCAGCAGUGGGGGAUAUUGCACAAUGGGCGCAAGCCUGAUGCAGCCAUGCCGCGUGUAUGAAGAAGGCCUUCGGGUUGUAAAGUACUUUCAGCGGGGAGGAAGGUGUUGAGGUUAAUAACCUCAGCAAUUGACGUUACCCGCAGAAGAAGCACCGGCUAACUCCGUGCCAGCAGCCGCAGUAA
Molecule: ribosomal RNA, 504 nt
Filed under: uncultured bacterium
Lineage: Bacteria
Description: partial 16S ribosomal RNA
Rfam family: Bacterial small subunit ribosomal RNA
Source: RNAcentral